This 678-nucleotide unclassified non-coding RNA is filed under the name Hevea brasiliensis (rubber tree). The record is from RNAcentral. Lineage: Eukaryota; Viridiplantae; Streptophyta; Magnoliopsida; Malpighiales; Euphorbiaceae.
GAGAAAGGUCAUAUCAUAUAUUUUAUCAGCUCUGUGCAGGAGCUCCAGGAGCUCUCAAAGAAAAAUUAAAUUUGAAGGAUGUGAGUGAGUAUAACUAUUUGAGGCAAAGCAAUUGCCACUCAAUUUCUGGGGUUGAUGAUGCAGAACAAUUUCGUAUUGUAAUGGAAGCACUCGAUGUUGUCCAUAUCAGCAAGGAGGAUCAAGAAAGUGUUUUUUCGAUGCUAGCUGCAGUUUUAUGGCUUGGAAAUAUCUCUUUUACAGCCGUCGAUAAUGAAAACCAUGCUGAGCCAGUUGUGGGUGAAGGCCUAGCAACUGUUUCAACUUUAAUCGGGUGUGGUGUGGACGAGCUAAAACUAGCUUUAUCAACUCGAAAAAUGAGAGUAAGAAAUGAUGAUAUUGUCCAAAAGCUAACACUAUCUCAGGCUACUGACACAAGAGAUGCAUUGGCAAAAUCUAUUUAUUCUUGUCUGUUUGACUGGCUCGUUGAACAAAUAAACAAGUCACUUGCAGUAGGCAAACGUCGAACCGGAAGAUCUAUCAGCAUUCUUGAUAUUUAUGGUUUUGAAUCAUUCGAGAGGAACAGCUUUGAGCAGUUCUGCAUUAAUUAUGCCAAUGAAAGGUUGCAACAACACUUUAACCGUCACUUGUUCAAGUUGGAACAGGAGGAGUAUAUUCAAG